AGGGAAUUUUGUUAUUUUUAACUAUUUAUGCUAAGCUUCAAAUUUAUUAACCAUUGAACUUGUAUACAUUACAUAUGUUAAAUGUGUUUCUUUUGCGCUCAGUAAGUCUUUCUGUAUACUAAUAAAAUAAUUUUUAAAACAUUGAAUUGCCAUUAAUAUGCAGCGUUUUGCAUAUGAUGUUGUGGUUGUCGGAGGUGGAAUCAUUGGAACUGCUACAGCCAGGGAACUCUUAUUAAGAAAUCCAUCGCUUAAAUUGGCACUUGUUGAAAAGGAAGCAUCUCUUGCUGCACACCAAAGUGGUCACAAUAGUGGUGUUAUGCAUUCUGGCAUCUACUAUACACCUGGAUCUUUGAAAGCAAAGCUUUGUGUAGAAGGCCUAGAACUUGCAUAUAAAUAUUGUUCUGAACACAAUAUUUCUUACAAAAAAUGUGGAAAACUUAUAGUUGCUGUUAAUCAAAGAGAAAUUUCCCGACUUGAAGCACUAUUUAAACGAGCAACUGAAAAUAAAGUAAAAGAUAUCUCUCUCAUUGAUCAAGAUGAAAUUAAGAGACUUGAACCAAACAUUCAUGGUUUAAAGGCAAUAUGGUCUCCUAAUACUGGUAUUGUUGAUUGGGCAGAAGUAAACAAGUCAUUUGCUGAAGAAUGCAAAGUUCGAGGAGCUGAUAUUUAUUUAAAUUUUUGUGUCAAGGGUCUUCAUGUUGUUUCUCCAACUACAAAGACACCUGAACCUUUUGUUUUAGUGCAAAGCAAAACUAAAGAAUUGCUAUGUAAGCAUGUUGUAACCUGCGCUGGCUUGCACUCGGACAAUUUAGCCAUUAUGACAGGGUGUAGUCCAGAGCCCAGAAUAAUCCCUUUCAGGGGAGAGUAUCUUGUUCUAAAACCAGAAAAAUCUAAUCUUGUGAAAACUAAUAUAUACCCUGUUCCACAUCCUGAAUUACCAUUUCUUGGUGUUCAUAUUACUCCUCGUAUUGAUGGUUCAGUUUGGUUGGGACCAAAUGCUGUUCUUGCUUUUGAGAGAGAAGGAUAUAGUGCCAAAGAUUUUAAUGUAGCAGAUACUAUUAAUUAUCUGGGAUACAGAGGCUUUAGAAAGCUAGCUAAGAAACACUUUUUUUAUGGCUUGCAUGAAAUGUAUCGAAGUUCCAAUAUUGCUGCCCAAGUUCGUAUACUUCAACAAUAUCUUCCAAAUUUAAGCAGUUCAGAUGUUGUCAGUUUUAUUUGAAGAGUAUCAACAUUGUUAUCACUGAAGUUCAUUUACUGUGAGUGAGUGAAGAUCUCUGUCCAUGAGUUUAAAUGGCUUAUAACAUGUUCCUAUCAGCUUUGUUGCCAAACUUUUUGCUCCAUGGUACAACCAUCUAAUUUUGGAAUCACAGAUCAUUGGAUUAUCUGAAAGGGAGAAAAAUGAAACAAAAAUUGAAAGCGUUAUCAGACUUUGCAGAAUUCUUCAAGUGGUGUUCCUCUCUUUGCUGCGGGAGCUUGACACUUAGCAGAAACAGCUUCAAUGUUAAUCUGACAAACCCAGAAGAUAUCUGCAUUACAGUUUAUUGGA
RNAcentral lists this unclassified non-coding RNA (1546 nucleotides) under Stegodyphus dumicola. Its description in RNAcentral is "l-2-hydroxyglutarate dehydrogenase, mitochondrial- like, transcript variant X2". Lineage: Eukaryota; Metazoa; Arthropoda; Arachnida; Araneae; Eresidae. The record is from RNAcentral.